GGCUCUGUAGCUCAAUUGGAUAGAGCAUCUGACUACGGAUCAGAAGGUUAGGGGUUCGACUCCCUUCAGGGUCA
Molecule: transfer RNA, 74 nt
Filed under: Saprospira grandis
Lineage: Bacteria; Pseudomonadati; Bacteroidota; Saprospiria; Saprospirales; Saprospiraceae
Also listed under: 2 other names
Description: tRNA-Arg
Rfam family: tRNA
About the family: Transfer RNA (tRNA) molecules are approximately 80 nucleotides in length. Their secondary structure includes four short double-helical elements and three loops (D, anti-codon, and T loops).
Source: RNAcentral